UUUAUUAAAUUUUAAAAUUAAAAUAUAAUUAACUGGGGUAGUUAUUUUAGUUAAAUUAAUAUGAAUUUAAACAAAUUAAUGGUAAUUGUUCCUUUAUAUAAGGGAAUAUAUAAAUAGUUACUUUAGGGAUAACAGCAUAAUAUUUUUGGAGAGAUCUUAUUGAUAGAAAUGAUUGUGACCUCGAUGUUGAAUUAAAAAAACUUUAUAAAGCAGCAUAUAUAUAUAGUAGGUUUGUUCAACCUUUAAAAUUUUACAUGAUCUG
This 262-nucleotide ribosomal RNA is filed under the name Paralicella tenuipes. Its description in RNAcentral is "partial large subunit ribosomal RNA". The stretch from base 128 to 262 matches the Rfam family "Bacterial large subunit ribosomal RNA", at positions 2473 to 2607 of the family's 2925-position model. Lineage: Eukaryota; Metazoa; Arthropoda; Malacostraca; Amphipoda; Lysianassidae. The record is from RNAcentral.